RNAcentral lists this ribosomal RNA (491 nucleotides) under uncultured bacterium. RNAcentral's name for it is "partial 16S ribosomal RNA". It matches the Rfam family "Bacterial small subunit ribosomal RNA", at positions 29 to 506 of the family's 1533-position model. The record is from RNAcentral.
AGUGAACGCUGGCGGUAGGCCUAACACAUGCAAGUCGAACGGCAGCACAGUAAGAGCUUGCUCUUACGGGUGGCGAGUGGCGGACGGGUGAGGAAUACAUCGGAAUCUACUUUUUCGUGGGGGAUAACGUAGGGAAACUUACGCUAAUACCGCAUACGACCUACGGGUGAAAGCAGGGGAUCUUCGGACCUUGCGCGAUUGGAUGAGCCGAUGUCGGAUUAGCUAGUUGGCGGGGUAAAGGCCCACCAAGGCGACGAUCCGUAGCUGGUCUGAGAGGAUGAUCAGCCACACUGGAACUGAGACACGGUCCAGACGCCGACGGGAGGCAGCAGUGGGGAAUAUUGGACAAUGGGCGGAAGCCUGAUCCAGCCAUACCGCGUGGGUGAAGAAGGCCUGCGGGUUGUAAAGCCCUUUUGUUGGGAAAGAAAAGCAGCAGGUUAAUACCCCGCUGUUCUGACGGUACCCAAAGAAUAAGCACCGGCUAACUUCGU